This 653-nucleotide ribosomal RNA is filed under the name uncultured bacterium. Its description in RNAcentral is "bacterial SSU rRNA". It matches the Rfam family "Bacterial small subunit ribosomal RNA", at positions 202 to 842 of the family's 1533-position model. The record is from RNAcentral.
GAAAGAUGGUUCUGCUAUCACUCUUGGAUGGACCUGCGGUGCAUUAGCUAGUUGGUAAGGUAACGGCUUACCAAGGCAAUGAUGCAUAGCCGAGUUGAGAGACUGAUCGGCCACAUUGGGACUGAGACACGGCCCAAACUCCUACGGGAGGCAGCAGUAGGGAAUCUUCCACAAUGGACGAAAGUCUGAUGGAGCAACGCCGCGUGAGUGAAGAAGGGUUUCGGCUCGUAAAGCUCUGUUGGUAGUGAAGAAAGAUAGAGGUAGUAACUGGCCUUUAUUUGACGGUAAUUACUUAGAAAGUCACGGCUAACUACGUGCCAGCAGCCGCGGUAAUACGUAGGUGGCAAGCGUUGUCCGGAUUUAUUGGGCGUAAAGCGAGUGCAGGCGGUUCAAUAAGUCUGAUGUGAAAGCCUUCGGCUCAACCGGAGAAUUGCAUCAGAAACUGUUGAACUUGAGUGCAGAAGAGGAGAGUGGAACUCCAUGUGUAGCGGUGGAAUGCGUAGAUAUAUGGAAGAACACCAGUGGCGAAGGCGGCUCUCUGGUCUGCAACUGACGCUGAGGCUCGAAAGCAUGGGUAGCGAACAGGAUUAGAUACCCUGGUAGUCCAUGCCGUAAACGAUGAGUGGUAAGUGUUGGGAGGUUUCCGCCUCUCA